UACCAGCACCCCGAGUGGUCGGGACGUUUAUUGGGCCUAAAGCAUCCGUAGCCGGUUCUACAAGUCUUCCGUUAAAUCCACCUGCUUAACAGAUGGGCUGCGGAAGAUACUAUAGAGCUAGGAGGCGGGAGAGGCAAGCGGUACUCGAUGGGUAGGGGUAAAAUCCGUUGAUCCAUUGAAGACCACCAGUGGCGAAGGCGACUCACUGGACAUGUAUUGACGCUGAGGUGCGAAAGCGUGGGGAGCAAACAGG
RNAcentral lists this ribosomal RNA (253 nucleotides) under uncultured bacterium. RNAcentral's name for it is "partial 16S ribosomal RNA". It matches the Rfam family "Archaeal small subunit ribosomal RNA", at positions 474 to 727 of the family's 1478-position model. The record is from RNAcentral.